UACGGAGGGUGCAAGCGUUGUCCGGAUUUAUUGGGUUGAAAGGGUGCGUAGGCGGCCGAUUAAGUCCGGGGUGAAAGCCCACUGCUCAACAGUGGAACUGCCCUGGAAACUGGUUGGCUUGAGUACAGACGAGGGUGGCGGAAUGGAUACUGUAGCGGUGAAAUGCAUAGAUAGUAUCCAGAACCCCGAUUGCGAAGGCAGCUGCCUAGACUGUAACUGACGCUGAGGCACGAAAGCGUGGGGAGCGAACAGG
Molecule: ribosomal RNA, 253 nt
Filed under: uncultured bacterium
Lineage: Bacteria
Description: partial 16S ribosomal RNA
Rfam family: Bacterial small subunit ribosomal RNA
Source: RNAcentral